GGCUCACCAAGGCGACGAUGCGUAGCCGACCUGAGAGGGUGAUCGGCCACAUUGGGACUGAGACACGGCCCAGACUCCUACGGGAGGCAGCAUG
Molecule: ribosomal RNA, 94 nt
Filed under: uncultured bacterium
Lineage: Bacteria
Description: partial 16S ribosomal RNA
Rfam family: Bacterial small subunit ribosomal RNA
Source: RNAcentral